GAGGGUGUAGUUCAGUGGUAGAGUACUUGUCUAGCAUGUAUGAAGCCCUGGAUUUGAGUCCCAGCACUGCUA
This 72-nucleotide transfer RNA is filed under the name Heterocephalus glaber (naked mole-rat). It matches the Rfam family "tRNA". From Rfam's summary of the family: Transfer RNA (tRNA) molecules are approximately 80 nucleotides in length. Their secondary structure includes four short double-helical elements and three loops (D, anti-codon, and T loops). Further hydrogen bonds mediate the characteristic L-shaped molecular structure. tRNAs have two regions of fundamental functional importance: the anti-codon, which is responsible for specific mRNA codon recognition, and the 3' end, to which the tRNAs corresponding amino acid is attached (by aminoacyl-tRNA synthetases). tRNAs cope with the degeneracy of the genetic code in two manners: having more than one tRNA (with a specific anti-codon) for a particular amino acid; and 'wobble' base-pairing, i.e. permitting non-standard base-pairing at the 3rd anti-codon position. Lineage: Eukaryota; Metazoa; Chordata; Mammalia; Rodentia; Bathyergidae. The record is from Rfam by way of RNAcentral.